Molecule: ribosomal RNA, 472 nt
Filed under: Philolithus aegra
Lineage: Eukaryota; Metazoa; Arthropoda; Insecta; Coleoptera; Tenebrionidae
Description: eukaryotic LSU rRNA
Source: RNAcentral
AGAGUACGUGAAACCGUUCAGGGGUAAACCUGAGAAACCCGAAAGGUCGAAAGGGGAGAUUCAGCGUGUCUCGAUUGCGGCGCUGGACGGUCGUGCGACGGAAGACGUACGCGUCAUCCGCACCUUCCGUUCUCCGAACCGUAGUCGAACGCGUGCACUUCUCCCCCUGUAGGACGUCGCGAUCCGUUGGGUGUCGGCCUAAGGCCCGCAAUGGAGCCCGUUCGGACGGUUCGCCGUUCCGGACGAACUUGCGGUGUUUCCCGGUCGGCUCGCUCGACGGUAUACAGAUGGCGCGGGGCCGCUACACAUCAGUUAGCGUCCGACCGGCGGCAAGCGCGCUCGUCGUGACGGUGAUCGGACCUGGUGCCGGUCCUGUCCCCGAGUGGCUGUUCGCUGCCGUGUUCUCGGACAGACCUCGUCGAAACGCCGAUCUGCGACGCUAUAGCUUUGGGUACUUUCAGGACCCGUCUUG